UACGUAGGGGGCAAGCGUUGUCCGGAUUUAUUGGGCGUAAAGAGCUCGUAGGUGGUUCGGUAAGUCGGAUGUGAAAUCUCCAGGCUCAACCUGGAGGGGUCAUUCGAUACUGCCGUGACUAGAGGUCGGUAGGGGAGUGUGGAAUUCCCGGUGGAGCGGUGAAAUGCGCAGAUAUCAGGAGGAACACCGAUGGCGAAGGCAGGUCUCUGGGCCACUACUGACGCUGAGAAGCGAAAGCAUGGGGAGCGAACAGG
Molecule: ribosomal RNA, 254 nt
Filed under: uncultured bacterium
Lineage: Bacteria
Description: partial 16S ribosomal RNA
Rfam family: Bacterial small subunit ribosomal RNA
Source: RNAcentral